UAUUUAUCAUUAUACUUCGUUUGUUAUCUUGCAUUACAUGUAAUUACCCCAACUUGUAUAUAGAACAAACGAACUUUAGAAAAUAUAAUGUAACGUUCUAUAAAUACCAACCAGUUGAAUAUUCGUUCAAAGCCGUUAUGCCGAUAAACAAACACCGAUUGAGUAUGUAAAUCCAUGCUUGAAUUAUAUCAUGAGUGCAUAACUUAUGUUGUCAGUACAAGGUAUUAUGAUAAUCGCUUUAACUUAAAUGUUAAAUAUACAUGUAUGUGCUGUUAUUGAUUCACUUAACAUUUUAUAUUACAGUUUGAAACUCACUUUUUAUUGUUUACGUCUCAAUGCAAACUUACAACACCAGCUAUUUUUAUGUACAGAUAACCUGCCGUAUACUAACAGGAAUAAGUAGUAUCAUUCUUAAAUUAACUACAUGUAUUGAUAACUAUUACAAUUUGCAGAAAAAUUUGGAAAACACAUAUAAAAAUGACUGUGCUGAAUUAUUAUUAAAAUAGUAUAGCAGUUGUCGCAAUCGUGAAAAUUGUCUGCGAUAAAAAAACAAAAAAGAGGGACCCAAGCAGUACUAGCAUAUUAUUUUUGAAUAACCUGUUUUGUGUGUGUAUGAAUACUUAUCAAUUACUACUAAAUUUUAAAUGCAUAUAUUCAUUUGUUAAAAAAUAAAGUUGUAUUGUAACCAUGGUUUAAUUACUUGUAUAAGACAUGUAGUUGGUUAGGAUGAUUAUUAAAGAUAGUGCAAUCGGAAUGUCAAUUUGUAAUUUUUGUCGACAAAACUUGUGUUUGUGAAUGCACAUUAAAAUUACUACACCUUAAACGGAAUGUGUUGUCAUUAUUUUCUGUGAUUUAGAAACAAUGUGUCAACCUUUUAACACAUGCAUUGUUAUAAGUCUGUUUUUUUUUCUUUCUUUUUUUUCUUAUUUGCUUUCACAUACUUAAAUAACGUCUCAAGGUUAUACAUUGUUAAUCCUUUAUUGUUAUAUUUUGUUAGUAAUAACAUGCUAUUUUUGUUUCAAUACAAUUAUCACAAUAAACAUAUUCAUGUACUAUUUGUUUUUGUCAUUGCAUGAUUCUACAAUAACAAGAAAAAGAAUCGACAUACAUAUCUGUAAAGGAAGAUAAAGUUUCAGUGUUGCCGUACUAACACACACAAACGAAUGCAAGCAGUUUCUGAUUAACGAGCACUAUCAUGUAUAUGAAGUCCUUCUAGUGUGAAGAUUCACGAGCAUAGAAUAUCAACUGAGAUAUGUAAACACCACACGAUGGGACAGAGGUUGUAAAACAAGCUACUAGGAAGUUUGCUUGAGUGAGGAACAUAUUAUGACAUUCUCGUAGAAAGUACACGCAACCAGCAUUACGCCUUCAAACAACAUAGAUUGGUUCAAAGCAAAAAAUAAUGUUCACACAUACGCGGUAUGCAGUUGAAAACGGCUACGUCAUACCAGUGAUUUAACCAAAGAAAUGACAGCAACCAUAUUGUGACAUAUUUUUAAAUAUUUUUUUUUUCUAUACAUUAAAUGAUGUUUGUGAAUAUGCAUUUUAUACUUUUUUGUAAUCAAUUAGAGUAUAUAUCUAUUUCGAUAUUUUGUCUUGUUUUGUUUUCAAUAAGAAUCAAACAAAGCAAUGUGUUUGAUAAUCGAUAAUAAAGGAAUCCAACAAAUUA
Molecule: long non-coding RNA, 1669 nt
Organism: Mytilus californianus (California mussel)
Lineage: Eukaryota; Metazoa; Mollusca; Bivalvia; Mytilida; Mytilidae
Exons: 3
Source: RefSeq, a predicted model, not a curated record